ACCAUCGGGUUCUUGGUCAGCCCUUCUCCCCCAAUUGCUCAGUUUGGCCGGGCGGCCAGCUCUAGGAAGAGUUUUGGUGGUUCCAAUCUUAAUCCAUUGAAGAAUAAUGGAGGCCACUGUGUUCUUGGAGACCUUCAAUGCUGCAACCGUUUUUUUGGUACCCUUCCCCAGAUCUGUGCCUCGACACAAUCCUGUCUCAGAGAUCUAUGGACAAUUUCUUCCACAAGAUGCACCUGAGCUCAAAGAGUCUGAAUUUUUAUGUCAAUUAAUCUAAAAUCCUCUUUUUGCUUUGUCAUUCUGGGGUAUUGUGUGUAGAUUGAUUAGGAAAACAUGUAAUUUAAUCAAUUUUAGAAUAAGUCUGUAACGUAACAAAAUGUGGAAUAAGUCAAGGGGUCUGAAUACUUUCUGAAGGCACUCGACACGUCAGUGGAGGCUCCUCAGAGGAGGAAGGGGAGGACCAUCCUCAGUGAAUUUCAUAAAAAUAAAAAUUGUAAAACAUUAAAGUUAUCCUUUUUAGAUAAAACUAUACUAAAUAUAUUCACGCCAACAAAUAAUUGAUUAAAACACACCAUUUUGCAAUGAAGGUCUACAGCCAACAGGUCUACAGUCAACAGCACUCUGUAGGGUAGCACCGAGGUGUAGCCUGAGGACAGCUAGCUUCCGUCCUCCUCUUGGCACAUGGACUUCAAUACAAAACCUAGGAGGCUCAUGGUUCUCACCCCACCUUCCAUAGACUUACACAGUAAUUAUGACAACAUCCGGAGGACGUCCUCCAACCUGUCAGAGCUCUUGCAACAUGAACUGACAUGUUGUCCACCCAAUCAAAGGAUCAGAGAAUGAAUCUAGUACUGAAAGCAUAAACUACAGAUAGCUAACACUGCAGUGCAUAAAAUGUGGUGAGUAGUUGACUCAAAGAGAGAGACAAUAGUUUAAUUAACAGUUUUGAACAAAAUAAUUUCUUCAAAAAAGGAUUAGCAAGAGUCAUUUAUUUUUCACUUUCAUUAACUUAGCUAGCACAUGCAGCUAGCUAGCUAGCUUAGCCUACUCAGAGGGAUGUUAGCUAGCUAGCUAUGACUAUCCAACACAACACUGGAACCCUUCCAAGUCAAGGUAAGCUUUUGGUUUUAUUAAUUUAUUGCCAACAGGGUUUACUAACGCUUUAGUUCUAUUAGCUAUUUUGACUAUGACGUUACUUUAGCUAAUAUGGGGACAACGAUGCAGGCUGUGUGUAGUGGUUAUGAUAUGGUUUGGCUUGGAAACGUUUUUUACUCCUGGUCACAUAUAGCUGAUGUGUUGUGCAUUGAAGUCCACAAGGGGAAAAAGGUGAGAGGAGACGGUAUAGACGCGAGAAGGAAUACAACGUGGCUGCUAUGAAAGUGAACUGUGUUUACGCGUAAUCAGGGGUGUAUUCGUUUCGACGAUUCUGUUAAGUUUCUUAAACGGAAGCAAACGGAACAAAACGGGGAUAAAUAUACCUGAAUUUGUCCAAUAGAAAACUCUCGUUUGGAACUGUUGGACUAAAUGAUGACACCCUAGAUGCAGGUCAGACUGUGAAAGGCGGUAUUGAAUGUGUCACUGUCACCUCAAAUGUUUCUCUCGUUGUAAAUAAGGCCAUGCUUAUGAAUAAAUAAAUCGUCCUCCCUCGUCAUAAACGCCAGCGAUAUCCCAUAAUACGCCCCCUGAUCACCACGGUAACACGUCCUGUUACCCAGAACCCCCGAGGUCAGAGGUCAACAGUAUUGGUGUUAUCACCCUUAAAUCAGCCAAUCAAUGACCUGAUUAAGACCUGAGUAAUCAAAAGGUUGUAAAUAAUACAAAGUUCACAGUGUGUGUAUUUGUUCGUGUGUGUGUGUUCAGUGUGUGUUCAGUGUGUGUUCAGUGUGUGUGUGUGUUCAGUGUGUGUGUGUGUGUGUGUGUGUGCGUGUUAGUGUGAGUGUGUUCAGUGUGUGUGUGUGCGUGCGUGCGUGUGUGUGUGUUAGUGUGUUCAGUGUGUGUGUGUGUGUUCAGUGUGUGUGUGUGUGUGUGUGUGCGCGCGCGUGUGUGUGUGUGUUAGUGUGAGUGUGUUCAGUGUGUGUGCGUGCGUGCGUGCGUGCGUGUGUGUGUGUGUGAGUGUGUUCAGUGUGUGUGUGUGUGUGUGUGUGUGUGUGUGUGUGUGUGUGUGUGUGUGUGUGUGUGUGUUCAGUGUGUGUGUGUUCAGUGUGUGUGUGUGUGUGUUCAGUGUGUGUGUGUGUGUGUUCAGUGUGUGUGUGUGUGUGUUCAGUGUGUGUGUGUUCAGUGUUGUGUGUGUGUGUGUGUGUGUGUGUGUGUGCUCCUCUCACAGAACAGAAACAGAAACAUGGAAUAAUGUUGUUCAGGUCUACUGUAAUGGUUCUAUUAAAGACAUGGACCCAACAUUCAGACAUGUUACUAACUAAUAAAUACAUGACAACCCCCCUCACUUCCCCCAGACAACCCCCCCUCACUUCCCCCAGACAACCCCC
Molecule: long non-coding RNA, 2480 nt
Filed under: Salmo salar (Atlantic salmon)
Lineage: Eukaryota; Metazoa; Chordata; Actinopteri; Salmoniformes; Salmonidae
Description: lncRNA (ENSSSAG00000109535.1)
Source: RNAcentral